This 439-nucleotide ribosomal RNA is filed under the name uncultured bacterium. Its description in RNAcentral is "bacterial SSU rRNA". It matches the Rfam family "Bacterial small subunit ribosomal RNA", at positions 954 to 1392 of the family's 1533-position model. The record is from RNAcentral.
GCAUAACGCGAAGAACCUUACCAAGGCUUGACAUAUACGGGAACGGGCUAGAAAUAGGGGACUCUUUGGACACUCGUGAACAGGUGGUGCAUGGUUGUCGUCAGCUCGUGUCGUGAGAUGUUGGGUUAAGUCCCGCAACGAGCGCAACCCUCGUUCUAUGUUGCCAGCACGUAAUGGUGGGAACUCAUGGGAUACUGCCGGGGUCAACUCGGAGGAAGGUGGGGAUGACGUCAAAUCAUCAUGCCCCUUAUGUCUUGGGCUUCACGCAUGCUACAAUGGCCGGUACAAAGGGCUGCAAUACCGUGAGGUGGAGCGAAUCCCAAAAAGCCGGUCCCAGUUCGGAUUGAGGUCUGCAACUCGACCUCAUGAAGUCGGAGUCGCUAGUAAUCGCAGAUCAGCAACGCUGCGGUGAAUACGUUCCCGGGUCUUGUACACACCG